ACUCAGUGAAAUUGAACUCGCUGUGAAGAUGCAGUGUACCCGCGGCAAGACGGAAAGACCCCGUGAACCUUUACUAUAGCUUGACACUGAACAUUGAGCCUUGAUGUGUAGGAUAGGUGGGAGGCUUUGAAGUGUGGACGCCAGUCUGCAUGGAGCCGACCUUGAAAUACCACCCUUUAAUGUUUGAUGUUCUAACGUGGACCCGUUACCCGGGUUGCGGACAGUGUCUGGUGGGUAGUUUGACUGGGGCGGUCUCCUCCUAAAGAGUAACGGAGGAGCACGAAGGUUGGCUAAUCCUGGUCGGACAUCAGGAGGUUAGUGCAAUGGCAUAAGCCAGCUUGACUGCGAGCGUGACGGCGCGAGCAGGUGCGAAAGCAGGUCAUAGUGAUCCGGUGGUUCUGAAUGGAAGGGCCAUCGCUCAACGGAUAAAAGGUACUCCGGGGAUAACAGGCUGAUACCGCCCAAGAGUUCAUAUCGACGGCGGUGUUUGGCACCUCGAUGUCGGCUCAUCACAUCCUGGGGCUGAAGUAGGUCCCAAGGGUAUGGCUGUUCGCCAUUUAAAGUGGUACGCGAGCUGGGUUUAGAACGUCGUGAGACAGUUCGGUCCCUAUCUGCCGUGGGCGCUGGAGAACUGAGGGGGGCUGCUCCUAGUACGAGAGGACCGGAGUGGACGCAUCACUGGUGUUCGGGUUGUCAUGCCAAUGGCACUGCCCGGUAGCUAAAUGCGGAAGAGA
This 734-nucleotide ribosomal RNA is filed under the name Salmonella enterica. RNAcentral describes it as "partial 23S ribosomal RNA". It matches the Rfam family "Bacterial large subunit ribosomal RNA", at positions 2031 to 2764 of the family's 2925-position model. Lineage: Bacteria; Pseudomonadati; Pseudomonadota; Gammaproteobacteria; Enterobacterales; Enterobacteriaceae. The record is from RNAcentral.